GUCAAGUUAGUACCUAAAAACACAGACUUUACACAAAUUUACACAUUUACAGCGUGAAUACCGAACAGAACUGAGGUAAAUCUAAAUAUCUUAAUUAAAAGUAUUGAGGUAUUUUGUGUUUAUUCGGGGUUUCUUAAGGAAAGGGUGUAGCGUACUGGUUAAACUAACAAUCAUGGCCACCAGCCUAAACCAGUUGAAUUCGACACAUCCCAACCAGACCGGGUGUGAGGGGAAAAGUUACAAAUGUGGCCAUUAAUAUGACAAUAAAGCUUAAAACAUAAUCGAAUACACCAAUAAACACAGAUAUAAACUGUUAAAAUGUACAAAUAGAUUUUUUUUCCCGGAAAAAACAUGUUUUUAAAAGAUGAUCUAGUUCUAUAGAGUAAUCAGAUUGUUUGGAACAACGGUAUGGGUGUAUUAAUCACUAGGUUGCAAUCAUAAGUAAUUAGGUGGAUUAAAAUAGUUAAUAUAACUCGAACCGAGCAUGCAACAUUGCAGCCAUGUGCUUUAGACCAGUCAGUUCUUAGGUGUAGUCUGACUAUCCUCAGCAUGGUCCAAAGGACCUGAAGCUCGAUCUAAGCAUGCACUCACAUCAGAUGGAGUCCGAUUCCUCAGCUCUAAAUGGAUCCUCUUUUUCAUGUCCAUGUCGCCCAGCUUUCAACAGAAACUAAGUUCAGAACUCGUUCGGAUCCUCUUGGCUUUCACAGCAGAUCAGUAUAGAUCCCCGGCAGGCUGAGGAACUAAAGAUAAACAACCCGAACCCCUCUUACUGCCCCAAAACACACCACGUAAACUCGGAGAGAGUGGCAGAACAGAAGCCAUGCAGCCGGAAAGAGAGAGGAAAGAAAAUGUGAGACCGCGUGCAGCGCCGCAUGUGGUAGAGACAUCUACAACAGCAGAGUGCUGAAGCGUGCCGGCAGAAUUACAGCAGACCCCCUCUCAUCCUGGACAUCACCUUUUUCAGACCCUUCCACCUGGCAGAAGACUCGGGACAAUAAAAACGAACACAUCCGGACACGCUAACAGCUUUUCCCCCCAGAGCUGUAACACUUCUUAACCAAAGUUGUUCUCUUGGGUAAAUGUUAGUAAAUACCGGUUAACGGUCCGUGUUACAUGUCAUACACGUGUAAUUAUCUGUACUAUUAUGUGUAUUGUGUGUAUCACCGAAGCAAAUUCCUCGUAUGUGUAACAUACCUGGCGAAAUAAAGUGAUUCUGAUACGUCGAUCGCUCGUAACUCAAGGGUCUACUGUAAUAAUAAAAUAUAUUAACUAGGGAUAGUGGGAGCCUACUGGGUAGAGCUAUGGACUACCAGUUAAAAGGUUGAGAGUUACAAUCUCAGCUCUGCCAUGUAGCCACUGUCGGGCCCUUGAUCAAGGCCCCUAACCCUCUCUGCUCCAGGGGCACUGUACAAUGGCUGACCUCAGCUCUGACCACAGCUUCCAGACAAGCUGGGAAAUGCAAAGAAAGAAUUCCGUUGUAUAUCUGUAUAUGACCAAUAAAGCCAUUCUAUUCUUAUAUUACAUGGGGUGGGUCGGUGGGUAGCACUGUCUCCUCGCAACAAGAAGGUCCCGGGUUCAAUCCCCAGGCGGGGCGAUCCAGGUCCUUUCUGUGUCGGGUUUGCAUGUUCUCCCCGUGUUCGUGUGGGUUUCUUCCCACAGUCCAAAGGUGUGUAUGUGAGGUGAACUGGAGAUACAAGAUCGUCCAAGACUGUUCGAUAUUAAACUUGAACCGAUACAUCUUGUGUAAGCAGUAACUACCUGUCAUGUCAUGAGUGGAACCAAAGUGUAAAACAUCACGUCACA
Long non-coding RNA from Trichomycterus rosablanca, 1803 nucleotides. RefSeq lists it as uncharacterized. The transcript has 3 exons. NCBI's taxonomy places the organism in Eukaryota, Metazoa, Chordata, Actinopteri, Siluriformes, Trichomycteridae. The record is from RefSeq and is a predicted model, not a curated record.